CUGGUCUGUAAAGGGACACAGCA
This 23-nucleotide microRNA is filed under the name Rattus norvegicus (Norway rat). Its description in RNAcentral is "rno-miR-6326". The record is from miRBase by way of RNAcentral. Lineage: Eukaryota; Metazoa; Chordata; Mammalia; Rodentia; Muridae.